Molecule: ribosomal RNA, 477 nt
Filed under: Alteromonadales bacterium HD-I-03-3
Lineage: Bacteria; Pseudomonadati; Pseudomonadota; Gammaproteobacteria; Alteromonadales
Description: bacterial SSU rRNA
Rfam family: Bacterial small subunit ribosomal RNA
Source: RNAcentral
GAGUAUGCUUGGGAACAUGCCUUGAGGUGGGGGACAACAGUUGGAAACGACUGCUAAUACCGCAUAAUGUCUACGGACCAAAGGGGGCUUCGGCUCUCGCCUUUAGAUUGGCCCAAGUGGGAUUAGCUAGUUGGUGAGGUAAUGGCUCACCAAGGCGACGAUCCCUAGCUGGUUUGAGAGGAUGAUCAGCCACACUGGGACUGAGACACGGCCCAGACUCCUACGGGAGGCAGCAGUGGGGAAUAUUGCACAAUGGGCGCAAGCCUGAUGCAGCCAUGCCGCGUGUGUGAAGAAGGCCUUCGGGUUGUAAAGCACUUUCAGUCAGGAGGAAAGGUUAGUAGUUAAUACCUGCUAGCUGUGACGUUACUGACAGAAGAAGCACCGGCUAACUCCGUGCCAGCAGCCGCGGUAAUACGGAGGGUGCGAGCGUUAAUCGGAAUUACUGGGCGUAAAGCGUACGCAGGCGGUUUGUUAAGC